UGCGUAGGCGGGUCUUUAAGUCAGGGGUGAAAUCCUGGAGCUCAACUCCAGAACUGCCUUUGAUACUGAGGAUCUUGAGUUCGGGAGAGGUGAGUGGAACUGCGAGUGUAGAGGUGAAAUUCGUAGAUAUUCGCAAGAACACCAGUGGCGAAGGCGGCUCACUGGCCCGAUACUGACGCUGAGGCACGAAAGCGUGGGGAGCAAACA
RNAcentral lists this ribosomal RNA (207 nucleotides) under uncultured bacterium. RNAcentral's name for it is "partial 16S ribosomal RNA". It matches the Rfam family "Bacterial small subunit ribosomal RNA", at positions 568 to 774 of the family's 1533-position model. The record is from RNAcentral.